This 30-nucleotide non-coding RNA is filed under the name Rattus norvegicus (Norway rat). Lineage: Eukaryota; Metazoa; Chordata; Mammalia; Rodentia; Muridae. The record is from RNAcentral.
UGACAUGUGGCUAAGAGAAUAUUCUGAUAC